Molecule: ribosomal RNA, 115 nt
Filed under: Pteropus alecto (black flying fox)
Lineage: Eukaryota; Metazoa; Chordata; Mammalia; Chiroptera; Pteropodidae
Source: RNAcentral
GUCUACGACCAUGCCACCCUGAACAAGCCCAAUGUUUGAUCUCAGAAGCUAAGCAGGGUCAGGCCUGGUUAGUACUUGGAUGGGAGACCACCUAAAAGACCAGGUGCUGUAGGCA